AGAAAUUAACAUUUAAUAGAAUUUCCCAUAGGACGGCUAAUGCUAACGCUCAUUGCUGACUAAAUGAACAUCUUUAUAAACUCACAGGUAUGAACUUUCCAAACUCUUUCACGGAAAUAUUUUCAAAGUAACCAUUUGUGGUCCAAAAUAUCGUUUUUUGCUCGUACUUUCUUCUUCUUAUGGAAUAAGGUGUAAUGCUAUAGUGUGAUCGCCACCUUGUGGCCAAACAGAAACGCCCUCAACUUAGGUAGACAUCCGUUCACAAACUUUAGCACAGAAAAUUCUGGAGGCGCACAAGCGCUACCUGGCCCUGACGUCGCCACUCACUUUUGACUUCCCCUCAUUGGCUGAGCAGUUGAAACACACCCCUCACUCUUCCCUUCUGCCCCUCCCAACCCAGUCAGAGCUCCAUGUAACAAAUUCAUAAAAAAAAAAAAAAAAACCUUUUUCAAAGUGGCGGCUUUUCUGUUGGUUUUAUCACCAUAGCAACCAUUUUAUGUUUUAGUCACCUGGAGGUGACGAACAGGUCUAUGUAAGUUUUAGAAGAAUCGCCAAAGGAUGGAGAUGAUGAGGAGCACGAGGACGAUGCCCGAGGAGACGCCGAUAACGGUGCCGUGGGUCUUGGUGAUCUGAUGGAAAAUCCCCUUGGAGCGUUUCUCUGGAGGAGGAACACAGAAGGAGAAGAUGGAGAACCAGCAAAAGCAGAAUCCCCAGCAGACAGGAAGAUGAUCACCUUUGCAGUGGUUUUCAUCCCAUGGAUAGACGCAGUUCUGCACGCCGUUGCACACCAGCGUGUUGUUGAUGCACAUGUUGCUGUGGCAGAAGAACGUGUUGGCUGUGCAGGGAGCUGCAGGACAAAAAAAAAGAUAAAAUAAAACAAAUGACAGCACAAUGAACAGGAGCAGAAGGUAUUGCGCUGAUAAUAACAAUAAAAGCGCGAUAGCGGGGCGAUACUUUGGCUGCAGAAGUCUAAUGAAAGAGAAAAUGUGCUAUUAUUUCUUGAACGGCUCGAGGUCUAAUGGGGACGGAGCACGCCAGGCCAUACAUCAUCAUCUCCUGCAUCAGCAGGUGAUGAGGGGAGAAGAUGGCAGCUCCGCUGAACUGCAGCCGUCAUGUCAGGAGGUCUGAGGCGGAGGCGACAGAGGAGGACGAGGAGGAGGAGGAGGAAGGCUCGGAGCAAUCUGAGAGGAGAUGAAAAGAAAGGAAAUGGCUCCCAGUGCAUCAUGUCGCGCUGGUCAGGCAGGUGAGACAGACCACAUUAAAGCCUUUCUCGUCGUGAGCGCUGACGGCUCCGACUGCUGACUGAUAAUCAAUGCAGGCUUCAGGAGGAAGAGCUCCAAGGCUGAUGUCGGAGCAGCAGAACCGACUCUCACCUUUUGUCUGACUUUCCCAGGCCUGAGACUCAACUGACUUUCACAGGAAGCAGCACAGAAAUAUUUCUGCUCAGCGCUGGAGCUGGAAGGCAAAAGCGCUCUGCUGGAAAACAACAGCUCAGGCAGCUGCUCGGCAGCUGGAAGGAGCGAGAUGUUUCCUCCAUCGCCGGGAUCGGCUGUUUCGGUUUGGAGGAGCCCGCGGGCGGGCGUUUGGGACGGCCCGUUUGUUGCCAGGAAGAACAGAUCUUACGGUCUAUGUAGGAGGUGAAGAGCAUGCGGAAGCGGCUGAGGCGGCUCUUCUCGUCCGCCCACAUCCUCACGACCCCCACGCCGUUGUCCAGCAUCAGGUCGUUGGCCACCGUGCUGCAGAACUUGGCCUUCAGGUUCUCAAUGGCGCUGCUGCCGUCGUACACGGCGACGAAGUUCUUCUUGCACUCGUUGGAGUGCUCCAUCUGGUAGUCGAUGAAGCGCAGGUAGAUCUGCAGGAAAUACAGAAACAUCCAGAAAAAUCAGAUUUGUAUCAUUACAUAGUUUAAAAGCAAAAAAAAAAAAAAA
Oryzias melastigma (Indian medaka) is the source of this 1928-nucleotide long non-coding RNA. RefSeq lists it as uncharacterized. The transcript has 4 exons. NCBI's taxonomy places the organism in Eukaryota, Metazoa, Chordata, Actinopteri, Beloniformes, Adrianichthyidae. The record is from RefSeq and is a predicted model, not a curated record.